AUUGAACGCUGGCGGCAUGCCUUACACAUGCAAGUCGAACGGCAGCACGGGAGCAAUCCUGGUGGCGAGUGGCGAACGGGUGAGUAAUAUAUCGGAACGUGCCCGGUCGUGGGGAUAACGUAGCGAAAGCUACGCUAAUACCGCAUACGAUCUAUGGAUGAAAGCGGGGGAUCGCAAGACCUCGCGCGAUUGGAGCGGCCGAUAUCAGAUUAGGUAGUUGGUGAGGUAAAGGCUCACCAAGCCGACGAUCUGUAGCUGGUCUGAGAGGACGACCAGCCACACUGGGACUGAGACACGGCCCAGACUCCUACGGGAGGCAGCAGUGGGGAAUUUUGGACAAUGGGCGCAAGCCUGAUCCAGCAAUGCCGCGUGCAGGAUGAAGGCC
Molecule: ribosomal RNA, 385 nt
Filed under: uncultured bacterium
Lineage: Bacteria
Description: bacterial SSU rRNA
Rfam family: Bacterial small subunit ribosomal RNA
Source: RNAcentral